Molecule: ribosomal RNA, 429 nt
Filed under: uncultured archaeon
Lineage: Archaea
Description: bacterial SSU rRNA
Rfam family: Archaeal small subunit ribosomal RNA
Source: RNAcentral
UACCAGCUCUCCGAGUGGUAGGGAUGAUUAUUGGGCUUAAAGCGUCCGUAGCCGGCUUAGCAAGUUUCCUGUUAAACCCAGCGACUCAAUCGUUGGAUCGCGGGAAAUACUACUAGGCUAGGAGGCGGGAGAGGUCAACGGUACUUCUGGGGUAGGGGUGAAAUCCUAUAAUCCCGGGAGGACCACCAGUGGCGAAGGCUGUUGACUAGAACGCGCUCGGCGGUGAGGGACGAAAGCUGGGGGUAGCAAACCGGAUUAGAUACCCGGGUAGUCCCAGCUGUAAACGAUGCGAGCUAGGUGUUGGGAUGGCUACGGGCCAUUUCAGUGCCGCAGGGAAGCCAUUAAGCUCGCCGCCUGGGGAGUACGGCCGCAAGGCUGAAACUUAAAGGAAUUGGCGGGGAGCACCACAAGGCGUGAAGCUUGCGGUUC